Molecule: long non-coding RNA, 417 nt
Organism: Lathyrus oleraceus (garden pea)
Lineage: Eukaryota; Viridiplantae; Streptophyta; Magnoliopsida; Fabales; Fabaceae
Exons: 3
Source: RefSeq, a predicted model, not a curated record
UUUGACUGUGGCUAAAAUAGAGAAAACCGUGCGCAGUUCACCAUUUGCUUUCUCUGAUCCCGGUGCCAACAAACGCGCACUACAUACAUACAGACGCAUAACACUGUGAUGGAAGAAAAUGAUAAUUAGUGUUUUUACAGAGGUGGAAUUGAUGAAGAAAAAGACGACAACGCUGUUGCGUUCUUCAUGGGAGGAAGAUGACUAAAUCGUGCGGUAAUGGCGUGAGUGCACCGCAGGUGUGAAAAGAAGGAAGGAAGGAAGUAUACAAUACAAAGGAAUCUGAUAGCAACCCAUCCACCAGAUGGGAUGCCGACUGUGUUCCUUUCAACGGGAUCAACAAGAUUGAAGUUUGAUGGGUCCUUACUUGGAUCAUAGUUACCAAAUCCUUGUCCAACAACAAAGAAGUUAAAUCCAUGC